Molecule: long non-coding RNA, 1731 nt
Organism: Sparus aurata (gilthead seabream)
Lineage: Eukaryota; Metazoa; Chordata; Actinopteri; Spariformes; Sparidae
Source: Ensembl
UCCAGUCAUGUCCUCCACCAUCCUGCUGAUCGUCCUUCUGUCUGAAAUUGAUCUCCACCCAUGGGCAGAACAUUAAUGAUGACAGCACACAUUACAGGUCUGAUCUCAGAGCAGCUUCUCAGGGCAGCUGUUGGAGGAUCCGUCCUGAUCCCAUGUUCUCUUCCUGGUAAUCCACUGAGGUUUUACUGGCAGGAGGACCAGUCUCCUUACCUUUUGUGUCACUGGGACGGUGGGAAAACAUUGCCAGGAUGUGACAAAUACAAUGGCAGAUUCCAAGUCUUCACUUCUGAGUUUAGUUCUGGAAACAUUUCCAUCAGACUUGACAACAUUUCUCCUGAAGAUGAUAAGAAAACAUUCUUUGCCUACGUUAAAUUUGAUGAGCAGAUACAAUCUGAACGACGGUGUGAGUCCACGCUGCAGGUUUCAGCUCCCUACCAGGAUCUGGUCCUGACAGUUAACCACACAACCAACAGUGCAACCUGCUCAGCACGAGGAGGAUACCCUGCAGCUCAGGUAUCAUGGAAGGGUCUGAACAGAUCCAGUGAUGAACAAAUGGACCUGCAGGAUGCUGAGACGUUCCUGCAGCAGGCUCCAACAGAGAAAACCUUCUCCUUCACAAGCUCUGUCAACGUUACAGGGUUAAAGUCUGUAACCUGCAUCGUCUACAACCCUCACUCCAACAAGACCAUUAACAAAACUAUGGAGUUGGUGGAGAUCAACACUGCUGAUCCUCCUGGUGUGUGGAUCACAACGCCAACCUUCUCUACUCCUUCCCAGGAUGAAAACGGGAGGCAUCAUUUUCUAAUAAUUGCAGCUGUUGUCCUCUUCAUCAUCCUCAUCCUCAUCCUUGCUGGUUUCUGUCGGUGGUACAAAAGUCAAUGUCCAGUUCCAGGACCAGUUCUAGAACUGAACCCAGAACCAGACGUCCCUAAUCUCCAAGAUGCAGUUCAAGAAGAAGCUCCAGAUUUAAAUCCAGAUGCAGCUCGAGAACCAGUCGAUCCUAAUCCCCAAGACCCAGUUCAAGAAGAAGCUCCAGCUCCAGAUCAAGCUCCAGGUCCAGAUCAAGAUCAGGAUCCAGAUCAAGCUCCAGGUCCAGAUCAAGAUCAGGAUCCAGAUCAAGCUCCAGGUCCAGAUCAAGAUCAAGAUCAAGAUCAAGAUCAAGAUCAAGAUCCAGAUCAAGCUCCAGGUCCAGAUCAAGAUCAGGAUCCAGAUCAAGCUCCAGGUCCAGAUCAAGAUCAAGAUCAAGCUCCAGGUCCAGAUCAAGAUCAAGCUCAAGGUCCAGAUCAAGAUCAGGAUCCAGAUCAAGCUCCAGGUCCAGAUCAAGAUCAAGCUCCAGGUCCAGAUCAAGAUCAGGAUCCAGAUCAAGCUCCAGGUCCAGACCAAGAUCAGGAUCAGGAUCCAGAUCAAGCUCCAGGUCCAGAUCAAGAUCAGGAUCAGGAUCCAGAUCAAGCUCCAGCCAACCAACCACCAGCCGAACAUGAUCCCCAAGAUGGAGCUGAAGCUGAAGAUGCAGACGCAGCAGAACCUGCCCCAGACCCAGUUCAGGAGGAAGCAGCUGAUCCAUCUGAGGACACUGUUCUACUAUCUAAGGAUCGAGCUGUGUUUCACUGUCAGACAAAGACGAGUGAAGGUACUGCAGACUGCGACACCUGUGAGGACGCUGCUGCUUCACCAGAGAAAGAAAAACUGCUGGAAAAAGAAAAUGGAAAUGAAGACAGCGCCUCUGAUUGA